RNAcentral lists this long non-coding RNA (350 nucleotides) under Vigna radiata. Its description in RNAcentral is "long non-coding RNA (VRAD_LNC016800)". Lineage: Eukaryota; Viridiplantae; Streptophyta; Magnoliopsida; Fabales; Fabaceae. The record is from RNAcentral.
AACUUACCUUGGGGAGUGCUACACAAAGAAGAGGGUGCCCGGGAAGAUAAAAAAAGGAAAGGUUGUGCUUGUAGAGUGUAGAAAUUUGAAAGUUAUAAGUAGAGAUGACAACUAGUUGAGUCGGACACAAAUAGUGCCUACCCAUUACUCGACCUACGACAAAAUUUUUUUUCUGCUACCUGUGUAGAUACCUAUUUAAAAGACACUUGCUGAUAUUUUAAAACAUGUAUAAAAUUUUAAAAUAAAAUUUAAAUAAAUAACAUAAAAAUAUGUAAAAUGUAUAAAAUAUAAUACAAAUUAAAUUAAAAAUAAAUAAAAAUUUAAUUUAAUUAAAUUUAAAAUGAUAAAAU